ACCUCUAAUCACUAGAAAUUAAUUAUCUUAUUGCAUAGACUUCAAAUGGUGCUUCCACUUGUUUCUACUGAAAAUAGACUCACUAAGGAUUCUAUACAAUUUUUAAUGAUUUUCUAAAGUCAGAACAGGGGACUCUAAAAACCAUUCUUACCCUGUCUCACUAAAAUUAAAAUAUCUCAUAAUAUAAAAUUCCUUUGCCUGGAAUGUUUGUUUCAUAUGAAAAUAGACUCAAUAAGAAUUAAUUAUAUAUCUCAUUCACUCUCUAAUUUCAUUUCUACUAAUUUUUGUGAUUUUUCAAAUUCACAUCACUGCUGCUG
This 317-nucleotide long non-coding RNA is filed under the name Gossypium barbadense (sea-island cotton). Its description in RNAcentral is "long non-coding RNA (GBAR_LNC013614)". Lineage: Eukaryota; Viridiplantae; Streptophyta; Magnoliopsida; Malvales; Malvaceae. The record is from RNAcentral.